UACCGCUUACCACAACAAGGAGCACUUCACCGUGUUUUAAAUGGGGAAUCGUGUGCAAAUCACGAGCUGUCGCGCAACUGUAAGUAACAACAGGCACAGGCAUUGAAUGUGCUGCCUGUGCUGUUAUAAGCCAGGUUACCAUCCUUGUUGAAUGACAACGC
RNAcentral lists this non-coding RNA (161 nucleotides) under Bacteroidota bacterium. Lineage: Bacteria; Pseudomonadati; Bacteroidota. The record is from RNAcentral.